This is a long non-coding RNA of Lolium rigidum, 443 nucleotides long. RefSeq lists it as uncharacterized. NCBI's taxonomy places the organism in Eukaryota, Viridiplantae, Streptophyta, Magnoliopsida, Poales, Poaceae. The record is from RefSeq and is a predicted model, not a curated record. The transcript is spliced from 2 exons.
UGUGAACUACGGAUUGCAAAGAUACAGCGGAGGAGUGUAAUGAUAGUUCCUUUGUUUUAUUGGAUUACGAAUGCAUGGGUGAAACUGAAUUCUCUCAGGAUCUAGGGACGUGGAGGCUCUCAAAUUUUUUUUGUGUUGAAUGAAGCUGAGAAAGCAGGAGAUGCAAUGAUUCAAGAUGAGCUGUAGUGUGCUGGUAGCAGGCACAUGCUGAUAGACAAUGAUACUGUGCUCAAGCAACUUUCGAAUACUGCUCGACCUAUUUAAUUUUUAUUUGAUGAUUUGAUCAAGUUGGCUUGUACUGUCUCCUGGCGUUUGUUGCUAACUUAAGCCAUUUCAUCUGGGUUAGUGCAUUGAGUGAACUUUAGUAUUUGGAAUUAUAGUUUCAUGUAUUAAAAAUUGAAUCUUUGCUACUGUAUGUUGGUUUGCAAUAUUUUGUUCAAUUU